RNAcentral lists this unclassified non-coding RNA (334 nucleotides) under soil metagenome. Its description in RNAcentral is "partial contains 5.8S ribosomal RNA, internal transcribed spacer 2, and large subunit ribosomal RNA". The stretch from base 4 to 118 matches the Rfam family "5.8S ribosomal RNA", at positions 40 to 154 of the family's 154-position model. The record is from RNAcentral.
GAUGGAACGCAGCGAAAUGCGAUAAGUAAUGUGAAUUGCAGAAUUCAGUGAAUCAUCGAAUCUUUGAACGCACAUUGCGCCCGCCAGUAUUCUGGCGGGCAUGCCUGUUCGAGCGUCAUUUCAACCAUCAAGCCCCAGGCUUGUGUUGGGGACCUGCGGCUGCCGCAGGCCCUGAAAACCAGUGGCGGGCUCGCUGUCACACCGGGCGUAGUAGAUUUUAUCUCGCUCAGGGCGUGCUGCGGGUUCCGGCCGUUAAAAAGCCUUUUUUACCCAAGGUUGACCUCGGAUCAGGUAGGAAGACCCGCUGAACUUAAGCAUAUCAAUAAGCGGAGGA